UACGUAGGGGGCAAGCGUUAUCCGGAUUUACUGGGUGUAAAGGGAGCGUAGACGGCGAAGCAAGUCUGAAGUGAAAACCCAGGGCUCAACCCUGGGACUGCUUUGGAAACUGUUUUGCUAGAGUGCUGGAGAGGUAAGUGGAAUUCCUAGUGUAGCGGUGAAAUGCGUAGAUAUUAGGAGGAACACCAGUGGCGAAGGCGGCUUACUGGACAGUAACUGACGUUGAGGCUCAAAAGCGUGGGGAGCAAACAGG
RNAcentral lists this ribosomal RNA (253 nucleotides) under uncultured bacterium. Its description in RNAcentral is "partial 16S ribosomal RNA". It matches the Rfam family "Bacterial small subunit ribosomal RNA", at positions 524 to 776 of the family's 1533-position model. The record is from RNAcentral.